RNAcentral lists this ribosomal RNA (397 nucleotides) under uncultured soil bacterium. RNAcentral's name for it is "bacterial SSU rRNA". It matches the Rfam family "Bacterial small subunit ribosomal RNA", at positions 26 to 426 of the family's 1533-position model. The record is from RNAcentral.
AGAUUGAACGCUGGCGGAAUGCUUUACACAUGCAAGUCGAACGGCAGCACGGGGGUAACCCUGGUGGCGAGUGGCGGACGGGUGAGGAAUACAUCGGAAUCUACCUUUUCGUGGGGGAUAACGUAGGGAAACUUACGCUAAUACCGCAUACGCCCUUCGGGGGAAAGCCGGGGAUCGCAAGACCUGGCGCGGAUAGAUGAGCCGAUGUCGGAUUAGCUAGUUGGUGAGGUAAUGGCUCACCAAGGCGACGAUCCGUAGCUGGUCUGAGAGGAUGAUCAGCCACACUGGAACUGAGACACGGUCAGACUCCUACGGGAGGCAGCAGUGGGGAAUAUUGGACAAUGGGCGCAAGCCUGAUCCAGCCAUACCGCGUGGGUGAAGAAGGCCUUCGGGUAGU